UUCCUGACAAUUCAGGUGGAAACACCUUCAGCUGCCAGCACCGAAGCUACUCAACUUUGCAGGAAUACACCUGUAGGAGGAACCAAAGCCCUCCCAAAGGACCCUUCAGCUGUUGUGCUGGGAAAGCUCUGGGCAAGCUGGGGGGGGGGGGGGCGGGGGGAGACAAGACGCAGGUGAGCCAGGCUCCCGUUCACUCACCCGCUACUCAUCUGUUCACUUAUUCGCUCCAUGUUUCUAGGCUCCCCUCUGUGCCAAACCCUGGAAUGGGCCCUGGGGAAACCAAGUCAGAAAGAAGGCCUGGUGCCUCCCUCAGAAAUCUCGAAGUCUGGCAACCGGGUGCGAGAGGUGCUCUGGAAGAAGCCAUGGGCUUUCAGGAGAAGGAGCCUGUCACCUAGGUCACCUAGCCUGGCAGAGCAGGAGGAGGGAGCAUCCUUGAAGACAGCUUUCCGAAGGAGGGGACACCUGACUGGAGACAUGGAGAUGGACCAGAAUCUCAUGGACAGGGUGUGAACCCAGGAGACUGAGAAGGGUACUUGUUUUUGUGUUGGAGAUCAAAGUGCAGCAAACUGAACAUUUCAAAUAUGAUAAAGGAAAGGACUCUCCUGCAACUACCUCUCCAUAGAUGCCUAACUAAAGGUUCAAGACUGGUGUCUCCACAGAGCUGCAGACCUGUCUAGUGGCUCCUGGACUCCAUGAGUACCAGACCAAACUCAUCUUUUACCCCAAAUUGCCCAUAUUCCUGUGCUCUGUAUAUCUAUCUGUUAGUGACAUCUCCAUCCACCUGGUCAACCAGGUAAAAAACUUAAAUUAUCUUUGACCUCUCUCUACCCUUCACUUUCUCUUUCCAAUUAGUUGCUAGGAAUUGCCCACUGAACAGCUUCCAAACUGGCCUCCCUGCAUCUAGUCUCUCCCUUCUUCUCCCCACUACCAGAAUUCUCUUCUUAAAGCUCAGAUUUAUAUUAUCACAUGCUAAAAAAAAAAAAAAAAAUCUUACAUUUUCUUCUCCUAUUUUCUGUGGAAUAGCCUCAACUCAUUAGCACCCAAGGCUUUCCUUGGUGCAAAUCAGUUUGGCCCUGAUUCCCCCAUGGCCUCUUGUUUUGAUUACACCAGGAUUUCAUUUGUAAGGGUGACUGAGUAAUGACAGAGUGGUCAGUGCCAUUGAAAGAAGUCUUAUUGCUCCCAGUUCCCAAGAGAAGGAAGUACAUCGUUCCAUCCAAAGCCACACAGGGUCAGUAAGGAAGCAAAAGGAGAGGAGAACAUGACCCAGAGCCUCUAUUGUGGUUUCUGUGGGAAGGAAUGGGUGAGGCAUAGUAGGGAAAUGUGAGUGAGCUUAAGAUGGGGUACUUUGAAUGUUAGUGGACUCUGGGCUAUAAGGGUGGUCUCUCAUUAUCCAGUAUUUGGCCCCAGGGUGAUUUAAGGCAGGGUAACUGUUGGCUUGGUGUGUGAGAGUUAAAGGAAGUGGUUGGGGGCAUAGGCUUUCGAUUGUUUGGUUAAUGUAAGGUGUGUUCACAGGCAAGUUGUU
Molecule: long non-coding RNA, 1522 nt
Organism: Leopardus geoffroyi (Geoffroy's cat)
Lineage: Eukaryota; Metazoa; Chordata; Mammalia; Carnivora; Felidae
Exons: 3
Source: RefSeq, a predicted model, not a curated record